This 331-nucleotide unclassified non-coding RNA is filed under the name soil metagenome. RNAcentral's name for it is "partial contains 5.8S ribosomal RNA, internal transcribed spacer 2, and large subunit ribosomal RNA". The stretch from base 1 to 120 matches the Rfam family "5.8S ribosomal RNA", at positions 35 to 154 of the family's 154-position model. The record is from RNAcentral.
GAUGAAGAACGCAGCGAAAUGCGAUAAGUAAUGUGAAUUGCAGAAUUCAGUGAAUCAUCGAAUCUUUGAACGCACAUUGCGCCCCCUGGUAUUCCGGGGGGCAUGCCUGUUCGAGCGUCAUUUCACCACUCAAGCCUCGCUUGGUAUUGGGCAACGCGGUCCGCCGCGUGCCUCAAAUCGACCGGCUGGGUCUUCUGUCCCCUAAGCGUUGUGGAAACUAUUCGCUAAAGGGUGUUCGGGAGGCUACGCCGUAAAACAACCCCAUUUCUAAGGUUGACCUCGGAUCAGGUAGUGAUACCCGCUGAACUUAAGCAUAUCAAUAAGCGGAGGA